UCCACCCAAGCUAACAUGGGAGCUGUUGCCC
This 31-nucleotide non-coding RNA is filed under the name Mus musculus (house mouse). Lineage: Eukaryota; Metazoa; Chordata; Mammalia; Rodentia; Muridae. The record is from RNAcentral.